Molecule: long non-coding RNA, 494 nt
Filed under: Capra hircus (goat)
Lineage: Eukaryota; Metazoa; Chordata; Mammalia; Artiodactyla; Bovidae
Description: lncRNA (ENSCHIG00000005062.1)
Source: RNAcentral
CAGAUGUCAUGGGUCCCAUAAACACAAAAGAGGCAUUUUUUGCCUGGUGGGGCACCCUCUAACCUUGUCUCAAUAAGAGGGUAAUAUAACAAGGGUAUAUUUGAUAGGUUUAUAAAUGGUAAGAAUGACUCCACCAGCCAGGACAUCCAUUACCAAUGGCGGGGAACCAGCUAAAAGUCGUAUCAGGAGGCAGAGAUGAGAAGCAUGGUUAAGAACUUCUUAGUGGUAUUAGAUCUCACACCAGGUCAUAUGGGUGGACUUCAUAUGAGUAUCACAGGAGGUGGUCCAGUGAGCGAGUGCUCAGUUGUAGGUGGGAGUUUCGUGGAGAACUGAGUUAACUGGAAGCUUUGAGCAUUGUGAUUCUGCUGCACGUCUGUCUGGGUAUCCCUCUGUUCAUGCGUUCGUGCUUCUAUUCACUAUUUACUGGCUCUAGUCUCCUUUCCAAGGUAGAGCUGGACUAUAUUUUGAUCUGGAACAUUGCUUUUUUAGCCAGU